Alligator mississippiensis (American alligator) is the source of this 1043-nucleotide long non-coding RNA. RefSeq lists it as uncharacterized. The transcript has 2 exons. Lineage: Eukaryota; Metazoa; Chordata; Crocodylia; Alligatoridae. The record is from RefSeq and is a predicted model, not a curated record.
UCCUGCCAAGUCCUGCUGUUGUAAUUCUGGACUGCAAAUCCCAGAGACCUUGGGAACAGUAGGAAGAGGAAAUGAACAUAUAGCCAGAGAGUUGGGCUAUAGUACCCUUCAGCUUCUGGCCUGAGCCACUGCAGACAUGUUGCUGCAUUUCCUGAAUCAAAGUUGCAUCACUCCUGUUCUGCAAAUGAGAGAAGAAUCAGUCUCACUUUGAUUGGAACUACAGCACGAAACUUUCUAACCAGUGCCUCAAACCCUGUACCACAGCAGCAGCUAUGCUCCUUUGAAUACCCAGGAGUGCUGGAUACUAUGGAAAUGAGGAAAAUGAAUUACGUGGUGUGAGGAAGCAAGUGCAAGCAUGGGGGCGAGCGCGGCAGGGGAGAACAGAGUGCCGCUCCCAGAGCUGUUGCAUCAUUCAGAUAGAAGCUCUGAGAAGGGAGCGGCAGGAAAACACGAGGUCGGGAGAGAAGGGAAGGAAGAGAGAUCCUGCGGAGGAGCUGUGAAGAAGCUAAUAGCGCUCAUGUGAUUCGAGGGGGAACGGAGUGAGAGGGAGGAUUCCCAGAAAGGCUCUGAGUGAUGCAAGACUACCGUCGGUAACAGUAAGAACAGGAAAAAAAGGAUUUAUACUUAAAAAUGUUUUGUUUACAUUAAAAGACUGUUUCUGUUGGGUGUCAAGAAGAUUCAAGCUUACAGGUCAGAGAGAAGACAGAUUGGUGACUUCAGUUGGAGUAAAGAUAAACGGAGUUCAUGCACAGAGAUCUGAGGAGAUAAGAGCUCUCUUAAAGUUGGAAGACACUGAAUGAAAAUAAAAGGAAGGAAAGAAGAUUCCAGGAGUGAUUCAGUUCAUUAGGACUAAGUUCAGUUCAUUUGUGUUUUAACUGCUAAAAAAAAAAAAACAAAGUUGUUGUGUGUGUUUGCGAAGAGUUACAAAGUUAAUACUUUAAGAGGUUUGAAAGCUACACAACGAACAUCUUCUGUUUGACUGCGUGUGGAACUUGAGCGAAUCUGUAUAGAAAAAUAAAGAGAAGUAAAUGGUCUUAACUAAA